GAUGAACGCUAGCGGCAGGCUUAAUACAUGCAAGUCGAACGGUAACAGGCCUGGCAACAGGUGCUGACGAGUGGCGCACGGGUGCGUAACACGUAUGCAACUUACCCUUUACUGGGGCAUAACCCUGAGAAAUCGGGGCUAAUACCCCAUGGUAUUACAAAUAGGCAUCUAUUGUGUAAUUAAAGAUUUAUCGGUAAAGGAUGGGCAUGCGCCCCAUUAGUUAGUUGGUAAGGUAACGGCUUACCAAGGCGAUGAUGGGUAGGGGAUCUGAGAGGAUUAUCCCCCACACUGGUACUGAGACACGGACCAGACUCCUACGGGAGGCAGCAGUAAGGAAUAUUGGGCAAUGGAGGCAACUCUGACCCAGCCAUGCCGCGUGCAGGAAGACGGCCUUAUGGGUUGUAAACUGCUUUUCUGUGGGACUAAUUGUCCUCACGAGUUGAGGAUUUGCAGGUACCGCAGGAAUAAGCAUCGGCUAACUCCGUGCCAGCAGCCGCGGUAAUACGGAGGAUGCGAGCGUUAUCCGGAAUUAUUGGGUUUAAAGGGUGCG
RNAcentral lists this ribosomal RNA (550 nucleotides) under uncultured Bacteroidota bacterium. RNAcentral's name for it is "bacterial SSU rRNA". It matches the Rfam family "Bacterial small subunit ribosomal RNA", at positions 28 to 571 of the family's 1533-position model. The record is from RNAcentral. Lineage: Bacteria; Pseudomonadati; Bacteroidota.